UACGUAGGUGACAAGCGUUGUCCGGAUUUACUGGGCGUAAAGCGUGCGCAGGCGGUUUUGUAAGUCAGAUGUGAAAUCCCCGGGCUCAACCUGGGAAUGGCAUUUGGGACUGCAAGGCUGGAGUGUGGCAGAGGAGACUGGAAUUCCUGGUGUAGCAGUGAAAUGCGCAGAUAUCGGGAGGAACACCGGUGGCGAAGGCGGUUCUCUGGGCCUUACCUGACGCUGAGGAGCGAAAGCGUGGGGAGCGAACAGG
RNAcentral lists this ribosomal RNA (253 nucleotides) under uncultured bacterium. RNAcentral describes it as "partial 16S ribosomal RNA". It matches the Rfam family "Bacterial small subunit ribosomal RNA", at positions 524 to 776 of the family's 1533-position model. The record is from RNAcentral.